AUGACCACCGGGGCGCCGGCGUGCGCUCCAUUGCAUCACCGGGAGCUCUUCAUUGCAACUGCGGGAGCCGCCGGUGUGGGCUCCAUUGCAGCAGCUGAGCGCCGGGACGCCGACGAGCGCUUCAUAGCAACAACGGGAGCCGCUGGAGUGCGCUGCAUCACAGGUUCGAGAGCCGGCGGCGAGCGCUGCAUCGCAGCACCGGCGAGCACGACCCCAGCUGCAGCCUCGAUGGUUGCCCUUACAGUAUCUGCAUCGGUGGCGGCGUUCGAUGACGACACCCCCGUUGCAGCACCUACAGCGACUGUCGUUGCACGUGGAGAAGUAGGAACCGACGGUGACCGCCGUUGCAGCACCUCACAACAGCAACAUCGGCGAGCGGUGGCCGUCCUUCUGCUUUGUAACCGCGGUCUGGAGCAGCGGCUGCAGAAAAACGGCGGUUCCUCGGGUGCACAUGAACACGAGUUGAAAGCUUGCAGCAGCGGGAGCCAUUUACUGCCGGCGUUGGUUUCGAUCUAG
Molecule: ribosomal RNA, 516 nt
Filed under: Triticum aestivum (bread wheat)
Lineage: Eukaryota; Viridiplantae; Streptophyta; Magnoliopsida; Poales; Poaceae
Description: partial small subunit ribosomal RNA
Source: RNAcentral